GGGGAUCCAAUCACGUCGGAGAACAUCAGAGUCAACAGAAUACUAAGGGACAUGGCAGACGAAGUGAGACAGAGAAGAGUUGAUCUCAGAGUAUUGAAGAGGAAUGAGGACUUUGAUGUGAAUAACUGGGAAACCAACAAGAAGAAGGAGAAUGUGAAAACGUCAAAGUCCUUGGUGAAGGAAGGCCUGGCUGCCAGAAAGACAGAGAGGAAGUUAAAGUCAUCUCUGACCACUGGUCCCUGGGAGGUGUUGGAGAGUCAUUGGAUG
Molecule: long non-coding RNA, 267 nt
Organism: Oncorhynchus tshawytscha (Chinook salmon)
Lineage: Eukaryota; Metazoa; Chordata; Actinopteri; Salmoniformes; Salmonidae
Source: Ensembl